GCCCGGCUAGCUCAGCCGAUAGAGCAUGAGACUCUUAAUUUUAGGGUCGUGGGUUCGAGCCCUACGAUGGGCG
This is a non-coding RNA of Dryococelus australis, 73 nucleotides long. NCBI's taxonomy places the organism in Eukaryota, Metazoa, Arthropoda, Insecta, Phasmatodea, Phasmatidae. The record is from the annotation of a GenBank genome assembly.